CUAAGUACUAGCGCCGCAGGAGUCUUAUUCAAUACCUCCUGCAGCCUUAGUGCUUACCA
Molecule: microRNA precursor, 59 nt
Filed under: Limulus polyphemus (Atlantic horseshoe crab)
Lineage: Eukaryota; Metazoa; Arthropoda; Merostomata; Xiphosura; Limulidae
Description: Lpo-Mir-252-P2c_pre stem-loop
Rfam family: mir-252 microRNA precursor family
Source: RNAcentral